Molecule: small nuclear RNA, 107 nt
Filed under: Neotoma lepida (desert woodrat)
Lineage: Eukaryota; Metazoa; Chordata; Mammalia; Rodentia; Cricetidae
Source: RNAcentral
GUGCUCACUUUGGCAACAUAAAUACAUUGGCAACAAUGAUACAGAGAGGAUUAGCAUGGCCCCUAUGCAGGGAUGAUACACAAAUCUGUAAAGCCUUCCAAGUUUCU